Molecule: ribosomal RNA, 331 nt
Filed under: uncultured bacterium
Lineage: Bacteria
Description: bacterial SSU rRNA
Rfam family: Bacterial small subunit ribosomal RNA
Source: RNAcentral
UGUGUAGGCGGCUCCCUAAGUUUGGUGUGAAAUCUCCCGGCUCAACCGGGAGGGUGCGCCGAAAACUGGGGGGCUAGAGUGCGGGAUGGGAGAGUGGAAUUCCUGGUGUAGCGGUGAAAUGCGUAGAUAUCAGGAGGAACACCGGUGGUGCAGACGGCUCUCUGGACCGUAACUGACGCUGAGACACGAAAGCGUGGGUAGCAAACAGGAUUAGAUACCCUGGUAGUCCACGCCCUAAACGAUGCAUAUUUGGUGUAGGUCAUUCAGUUGAUCUGUGCCGGAGCUAACGCGUUAAAUAUGCCGCCUGGGGAGUACAGUCGCAAGGCUAGAA